CUGUUAUGUGAGGGCGGUGUAGCUACUGUUACAUAUGGGGUGGAGUAGCUACUGUUAUGUGGGGGCGGUGUAGCUAGGUUACAUAUGGGUUGGUGUAGCUACUCUUACAUAUGGGUUGGUGUAGCUACUGUUACAUAUGGGGUGGAGUAGCUACUGUCAUAUGGGGGGGGGGGCUAGCCAGUGUUGUGAGGAGUAGCUACUGUUAUGUGGUUUAGCUACUGUUAUAUGGGGGCUAACUACUCCUGUGAGGGUUAGCUACUGCUGUGUGGAUGAGCUAUUGCUGUUUUGGAUAGUUAGUGCUGCACUGGCUAGCUACUGCUUCUACUUCUGGUAGUUAAGGCUCUGUGGAUUACUGACUGCUACGCGAGGCAUCUAAUGCUGUAGGGGGUUUAACGACUUGUGUAGGCUAUCUCCUGUUAUGUGAAGGUUAACUAUUGCUGUGUGGAUGAGCUACUGCUACAUGGUGUGUAGGUAGAGCUGUGGAGGUUAGAUAAUGCUGUGUGCAUGAGCUACUGCUACAGGGUGUGUACAUGAGCUACUGUUACAUGGUGUGUACAUGAGCUACUGUUACAUGAUGUGUACAUGAGCUACUGCUACAUGGUGUGUACAUGAGCUACUGUUACAUGCUGUGUACAUGAACUACUGCUACAUGGUGUGUAGCUAGAGCUGUGGAGGUUAGAUAAUGCUGUGUGCAUGAGCUACUGCUACAUGGUGUGUACAUGAGCUACUGUUACAUGGUGUGUACAUGAGCUACUGUUACAUGCUGUCUACAUGAACUACUGCUACAUGGUGUGUAGCUAGAGCUAUCGAGGUUAGAUAAUGCUGUGUGCAUGAGCUACUGCUACAUGCUGUGUGCAUGAGCUACUGCUACAUGGUGUGUACAUGAGCUACUGUUACAGUGUUACAUGCUGUGUACAUGAGCUACUGUUACAGUGUUACAUGCUGUGUACAUGAGCUACUGCUACAUGCUGUGUUGAGCUACUGCUACAUGCUGUGUACAUGAGCUACUGCUACAUGUGGUAUCUACUGCUGUGUAGGCUAGCUACUGCUACAUGUGGUAUCUACUGCUAUGUAGGCUAGCUACUGCUACAUGUGGUAUCUACCGCUGUGUAGGCUAGCUACUGCUACAUGUGGUAUAUACCGCUGUGUAGGCUAGCUACUGCUACAUGUGGUAUCUACCACUGUGUAGGCUAGCUACUGCUACAUGUGGUAUCUACUGCUGCGUAGGCUAGCUACUGCUACAUGUGGUAUCUACUGCUGUGUAGGCUAGCUACUGCUACAUGUGGUAUCUACUGCUGUGUAAGCUAGUUACUAACAACUAUAUGGAGUAGCUGCUGCUGCUGUGUGGAUGAGCUAUACUGCUACAUGGUGCCUUGCUAGUGUUAUAUCAGUAGUAGUUGUUUCUCUUUGGCCUCUCCACUCCUGUGUGCAGUAGGCACUGUUGUAUGGUGUAAUCACUGCUGAAUGGGUGCUUAAUUAGUAUUGACUGUGCAGUAGCUACUGCUACUCCUAAAAUAGACUGAAUAAUCAGGUAUUGUAUGGAUUCAUGGUCAGUCAAUACAGGUGAAAUUCUCGUCUGCAAGAUGAUAGCAUCGGCUUAGAUUUGUUAGCAAGAGCCUCUCUCGUUAAUAUCAGGAGCUAUAAUAUUCGUAAAUCACAAAGUUUAUAUAUAUGUAGGUCACGUGAUAUAGAAAUGUCUUAUAAAAUGAUCUUUCUCUGACUAGACAGCAGAGCGGGUGUUCGUAAUAGUGUAUGCUGCAGGUGAAGCAAGUAGCUAGCUAGGUUCGCCCAUGUAGAUGUGAGAUAUGAGGGUAGCGUCUCAUGAUCCUCACAAUCAUGUACAUAAAAUGUACACAACAUCUGUGUUCACUACUUCACUUCUAUAUUGUUGUGUAAUUGUGCAGUUACCACUGUGUUUACUUUAGUAGAAUUGAUUUUUGUAAUAUUCCCAUGCCUACUGUUAUAAACAACAGAUGCGCCGUCUAAACGCUUUUUAUCAAAUUAAAUUCGAUCGGAAAAGGAAAUUCCGUAAGUUUGGACUACAUAUAUAUAUAUAUAUAUAUAUAUAUAUAUACUCAGUUUUGCUAUUCAUUUAUAACGUCGGACACUGGAUAAUGAUGACAGAUAUGUACAGAGUAUAUGUGUAUUUGGUAUGUACUCUUGUGGCAUAAAAAAUGUGUACAGUG
Molecule: long non-coding RNA, 2186 nt
Filed under: Priapulus caudatus
Lineage: Eukaryota; Metazoa; Priapulida; Priapulimorpha; Priapulimorphida; Priapulidae
Description: uncharacterized LOC106806506
Source: RNAcentral